GAGUUUGAUCCUGGCUCAGAUUGAACGUUGGCGGCAGGCCUAACACAUGCAAGUCGAGCGGUAACAGGUCCAGCUUGCUGGAUGCUGACGAGCGGCGGACGGGUGAGUAACGCGUAGGAAUCUACCCAGUAGCGGGGGAUAGCCCGGGGAAACCCGGAUUAAUACCGCAUACGCCCUACGGGGGAAAGGUGGCCUCUUCUUGAAAGCUACCGCUAUUGGAGGAGCCUGCGUCGGAUUAGCUAGUUGGUGGGGUAAAGGCCUACCAAGGCGACGAUCCGUAGCUGGUCUGAGAGGACGAUCAGCCACACUGGGACUGAGACACGGCCCAGACUCCUACGGGAGGCAGCAGUGGGGAAUAUUGGACAAUGGGCGCAAGCCUGAUCCAGCCAUGCCGCGUGUGUGAAGAAGGCUUUCGGGUUGUAAAGCACUUUCAGGAGUGAAGAAAAGCGACGGGUGAAUAAUCUGUCGUCUUGACGUUAGCUCCGGAAGAAGCACCGGCUAACUCCGUGCCAGCAGCCGCGGUAAUACGGAGGGUGCGAACGUUAAUCGGAAUUACUGGGCGUAAAGCGCGUGUAGGCGGUUCGUUAAGUGGGAUGUGAAAGCCCUGGGCUCAACCUGGGAAUUGCAUUUCAAACUGGCGGACUGGAGUGCAGUAGAGGGAGGUGGAAUUCCAGGUGUAGCGGUGAAAUGCGUAGAUAUCUGGAGGAACACCGGUGGCGAAGGCGGCCUCCUGGACUGACACUGACGCUGAGACGCG
This 757-nucleotide ribosomal RNA is filed under the name uncultured bacterium. RNAcentral's name for it is "bacterial SSU rRNA". It matches the Rfam family "Bacterial small subunit ribosomal RNA", at positions 9 to 755 of the family's 1533-position model. The record is from RNAcentral.